ACAACCAUCACUAAAGGAACUAGCUCAUUUUUCUUCAAAUUUUCAGAUCUGAACUUUGGUUUCAUUGAUCAAUUUUCAGAUCUUAAAGUUCCUAAACCUUCUUCUCCUUGAUCUAUAGUGUCAACCGUAAGCAAUAGCAUCCAAGAAUUGUGACUCAAAGCCUUGCAAAUCAAAGGUUCACCUCAACUGUUAUUUUCUUCGAAUCUACUUGCAUAUUGCUUAAUUCUCAUUGUU
RNAcentral lists this long non-coding RNA (234 nucleotides) under Lathyrus oleraceus (garden pea). Its description in RNAcentral is "Pisum sativum (pea) long non-coding RNA (PSAT_LNC040669)". Lineage: Eukaryota; Viridiplantae; Streptophyta; Magnoliopsida; Fabales; Fabaceae. The record is from RNAcentral.